UGAUAAUGUAGUACAAAAAAAAGC
RNAcentral lists this non-coding RNA (24 nucleotides) under Cricetulus griseus (Chinese hamster). Lineage: Eukaryota; Metazoa; Chordata; Mammalia; Rodentia; Cricetidae. The record is from RNAcentral.